UACGUAGGGUGCGAGCGUUAAUCGGAAUUACUGGGCGUAAAGCGUGCGCAGGCGGUUCGUUGUGUCGGCGGUGAAAGCCCCGGGCUUAACCUGGGAAUGGCCGUUGAAACUGGCGGGCUUGAGUGUGGCAGAGGGGGGUGGAAUUCCGCGUGUAGCAGUGAAAUGCGUAGAGAUGCGGAGGAACACCGAUGGCGAAGGCAGCCCCCUGGGCCAACACUGACGCUCAGGCACGAAAGCGUGGGGAGCAAACAGG
Molecule: ribosomal RNA, 253 nt
Filed under: uncultured bacterium
Lineage: Bacteria
Description: partial 16S ribosomal RNA
Rfam family: Bacterial small subunit ribosomal RNA
Source: RNAcentral